UACGUAGGUGGCAAGCGUUGUCCGGAAUUACUGGGUGUAAAGGGUGCGUAGGCGGGUAAUAAAGUCAGAUGUGAAAUGCCGGGGCUCAACUCCGGAGAUGCAUUUGAAACUUAUUAUCUUGAGUGAAGUAGAGGCAAGUGGAAUUCCCAGUGUAGCGGUGAAAUGCGUAGAUAUUGGGAGGAACACCAGUGGCGAAGGCGACUUGCUGGGCUUUAACUGACGCUGAGGCACGAAAGCAUGGGGAGCAAACAGGAUUAGAUACCCUGGUAGUCCAUGCUGUAAACGAUGGAUACUAGGUGUGGGGGGUAUUGACCCCUUCCGUGCCGGAGUUAACACAAUAAGUAUCCCACCUGGGGAGUACGACCGCAAGGUUGAA
RNAcentral lists this ribosomal RNA (376 nucleotides) under uncultured bacterium. RNAcentral describes it as "bacterial SSU rRNA". It matches the Rfam family "Bacterial small subunit ribosomal RNA", at positions 524 to 898 of the family's 1533-position model. The record is from RNAcentral.